GACGAACGCUGGCGGCGUGCCUAAUACAUGCAAGUCGAACGAACCGCGACUGAGUGCUUGCACUUGGUCAAGGUGAGUGGCGAACGGGUGAGUAACACGUGGGUAACCUACCUCAUAGUGGGGGAUAACAGUCGGAAACGACUGCUAAUACCGCAUAGGACAUGGAAUCACAUGAUUCUGUGAGGAAAGGUGGCGCAAGCUAUCGCUAAGAGAUGGACCCGCGGUGCAUUAGCUAGUUGGUAGGGUAAGGGCCUACCAAGGCGAUGAUGCAUAGCCGACCUGAGAGGGUGAUCGGCCACAUUGGGACUGAGACACGGCCCAAACUCCUACGGGAGGCAGCAGUAGGGAAUCUUCCGCAAUGGACGCAAGUCUGACGGAGCAACGCCGCGUGAGUGAAGAAGGUCUUCGGAUCGUAAAGCUCUGUUGUUAGAGAAGAACAGCGCAUAGAGUAACUGUUAUGCGUGUGACGGUAGCUAAACAGAAAGCCACGGCUAACUACGUG
This 502-nucleotide ribosomal RNA is filed under the name uncultured bacterium. RNAcentral's name for it is "partial 16S ribosomal RNA". It matches the Rfam family "Bacterial small subunit ribosomal RNA", at positions 28 to 507 of the family's 1533-position model. The record is from RNAcentral.